UCUUCGACGAGUUAAUUUUUUUGCAGUUCGAAAUACAUUAUUUUUCCACAUGUCAGUGAAAAUCCACUGGCGUAGGAACACAGUGUGUCCUGAGCUACGUGCACUGCCACAUUGCAUGACUCGCACUGGUGGUCGGCGGUUUACGUGAAUGGAAUUCCCAGUCGGCACCAAAUAGCGGCGGCUCAGGUCUUCGCAACUUUUUCGGUGGUAUGUGCUGAAUAAAGUGAGCCAACUUAGAAGCCUGUAUGACUUUUUUCGAGCCUGGUACUCUGGUUGCAGCAGCUACAACAACAGAGCGAAGUCUGACAAAACGAGAUGCAACAUCUCCAAGUUGUUCCGCAGCAUGCAAUGGCAACACAUUCAAGCAGCACCAUGCCGGCUCGCACAAGUCAGAGAGAAGGAAAGGCUCACUGUGGCUCCUUUCCCCUCACCCGAUGAAAAGGUCUAUAGGUCGAGAUUCUUUGGUUGUGAAUAUAAGUUGAUAGCUCAUUUUGGGUAAUAUUCCCGCAAAAAGAAAAGAAAAAGGUCGACCUAUGUUCAGAUAAAUAGGGCAUUGGUUUGUGAAUAACAUGAUGAACAGCACAGAUGACUGAACAGGAAAUAAAGGUGGAAUGUAGUGGCAUGUGUGCUGUCUAUCUCUCAUGUCCUGUCAUCUGUAUUGCUCAUUAUGAUAGCACUAUAAGAAGCCAGUUUGGACACCACAUAUUUUGUCUCAGUCUAGGAUUCGGCAGAAGUAAAACAGACAUGUUCAGCCCCGUUCACUCUUGCAUUGUGCACUUCUGUAUUUUCUGCCGUGCAUAAUUAUGCUUCGUAUCUGUAUUGGUAUGCUGUUCCCUCUACUUAUGCAAGACGCUGUAAAGGUUUCCCACGAAAGUAACUAAUAAAAUCAGUACUGCUAACA
Dermacentor andersoni is the source of this 901-nucleotide long non-coding RNA. RefSeq lists it as uncharacterized. The record is from RefSeq and is a predicted model, not a curated record. NCBI's taxonomy places the organism in Eukaryota, Metazoa, Arthropoda, Arachnida, Ixodida, Ixodidae.